Molecule: ribosomal RNA, 326 nt
Filed under: uncultured bacterium
Lineage: Bacteria
Description: bacterial SSU rRNA
Rfam family: Bacterial small subunit ribosomal RNA
Source: RNAcentral
GCGGGCAUCUAACGAGGAGCAAAGAUUCAUCGGUAAGGGAUGGGGAUGCGUCUGAUUAGCCAGUUGGCGGGGUAACGGCCCACCAAGGCGACGAUCAGUAGGGGUUCUGAGAGGAAGGUCCCCCACAUUGGUACUGAGACACGGACCAAACUCCUACGGGAGGCAGCAGUGAGGAAUAUUGGUCAAUGGACGCGAGUCUGAACCAGCCAAGUAGCGUGCAGGAUGACUGCCCUAUGGGUUGUAAACUGCUUUUAUGCGGGAAUAAAGUCAGGUACGUGUACCUGUUUGUAUGUACCGCAUGAAUAAGGACCGGCUAAUUCCGUGCC